UACGUAGGGGGCAAGCGUUGUCCGGAUUUAUUGGGCGUAAAGAGCGUGUAGGCGGCCAUGCAGGUCCGCUGUGAAAACUGGAGGCUUAACCUCCAGACGUCGGUGGAAACCGCAUGGCUAGAGUCCGGAAGAGGAGAGUGGAAUUCCCGGUGUAGCGGUGAAAUGCGCAGAUAUCGGGAAGAACACCCGUGGCGAAGGCGGCUCUCUGGGACGGUACUGACGCUGAAACGCGAAAGCGUGGGGAGCGAACAGG
This 253-nucleotide ribosomal RNA is filed under the name uncultured bacterium. RNAcentral describes it as "partial 16S ribosomal RNA". It matches the Rfam family "Bacterial small subunit ribosomal RNA", at positions 524 to 776 of the family's 1533-position model. The record is from RNAcentral.